AGGAGGAUUAACGGAGCAGGGCGCUGGGAGACGGAUUGAUCUGCUUCAUAGAGCUGCAAUACAGUUUUCUGGUAAUAUUUUGCUGGAUUUGCGGAGGACUUUGCCUCUCUCAAAUUGGAGUUCUGAUUACAUGCACAACUAUGUAUAUGAGGUGAGUGUUCCUUCCCUUCUUAUUGGCAUGUUGAAAAGUGUUUGCAAAUAUCCAUCCAUCACUGCCUAAGUCAGAACUGAACAACUUUCUUUCUUUCUUUUCCUUCUUCCACCGUUGUUCCUGAGCCAUUAGCAAUUGCAUGCAUUACGAAGGCAGGUAUCUGUGGGGUUGAUGAAAAUGAUCCGUGCUAUCUCAAGCAUGUGGGGUGUGUGUGUGUGUGUAGCAGGAUUGUGUUGUGAAGAUUGUGCUAGGAGGAUGAGGCACUGUGAAGCCUGGAUUUGGUAUACUUGAAAAGGGAGAUCAUAUAUGCAAGAGAGACUGUUACCCCUGUGUUCUGAAGAGCACAAGUAGAGGCCAGUGUUUCUCUGAAAAACCCCUACCCCAAAUGCAAGCACAUACAUUUUUGCAGCACUUUAUAAAUAACAUCUAUCUCCAUUUUUGCUUGGUUGCUAUUGCAGCUCUGUAGUGUCUCCCAAACCCUCAACCAUAGGGCCUCUGAAAAUAUACAUUUGGGAUGAUAUUAUUCCUUGCUGAAAGAAGAAGCCUUUCUGAAACUACCAUUAUGCAGAGUGUCAUCUCACACAUUACCCCUUAGAGAAAAACUUACUUCUGGCUGUCAUGCCAGAACCAUAUUGGUUUGCAGAAAUGAUGACAAAGAAAGCAGCUUGACCUACAGUUCUGGGAGAUCAAAGUGAGGAACAUGGUUGCAAAUAGGAUUUCUUCUCCUUGGAUUUUUCAAGAUCUUAAGUUUUAUCAGAUUUCCUCUUUCUCACCCUUCCCUUAACCUCCUUUAAAAAUAAAAUAAAGACAGAAGUCAUAAUCCUUUUGCACUGUAUGUAUACAUUUGCCAUAGCACAACUCUCCCCCUCUGUGGCUAUCUCUCUCUCUCAAACAACAGUGUGUUUUCAUUUUACCCUAUAAUUUGGCAGUUUUGCCACUGACCUAGAAAAUAAAAGUGUUGAUGGCAAGGUUCACGAAAACAGGGAUAUCAUUUCAUCUCAGUUCAUUUCGCUAAAGAAGGAAGGAAGCAGUUUUUAAGUCUCCAGUUUCUUCAACUCAAAGGGAUUCGCUCCCCCCUCUUGAUUUCAGACAUCCUUAUUUCCCCUGAGUAGCAAUAUUGGUCUUGAAAGAGGAUUGUGUUUCCUUCCUCAAAAUGAUCUUUGCAAUUAAACUUUGGCUUUUCCAGAAGAGCCUAGCAAACGGAUGUUUAACCUCAGAUUUAGUGAGCAGACCAUGGACACCCUUGGUUCAGUUUUGAUACCUGAGCCGAAGUGCUCUCCUGUCAUUAGUACUGCUCUCCCUGCUGGGAAAGAUGGUUUGACUGGUCCUUGAACAUGGAGCUUUUAAAAGGCUUAAGUAUCUGGGUGGAAAAAGAACUUGUUGCCCUAUUUCUCCCUGCAGCUGUCUACAGCCUCCUAUGAACAUUCCAGCCUCUGAAGGCACCAUCAUCCAUCUCCUGCCCUCUGCCACCUCCACAGGCACCCAGGCACUCUCCCUCACCCCCAGUGUUCCUUCCAUUUCUCCUGCACUGCUGCUUCAAGCAUCUUGCUCAGAAUGACUAAGACCUGAUAGCCCUUUGCCACCUUGUUGUCUGUUGUGGGCCUUGCUGCAGUUGCAAUCCCCCCAGGCCAGGACUUAGCACAACGGUUACCAGAAAUGGCCAGAUCUGCUUUGAAUAGGGCAGAGUGGAAGAAACACCUGUUCUGGAGCACAGCGAAACAGGUUCUCUAGAUCUACUAGCCAUAAAGGCUAUGCUGUGCCUCCACAGUGAGAGGCUGUACGCUUCUGAAUAUUAGUUGCUUGAAACCACAGGAGACAAGAGUGUCCUUGCAGCUGGGUCUUGCUUGGGGGCUUCCCAGUAGAGACAUGUGGUUGGCCACUGUGAGUACAGGAUGCUGGACUAGAUGGGCCAUUGGCCUGAUCAAGAAAGCUCCUAUUUAUGUUCUUAGAUCAGGGUUUCUCAAAGUGGUUGGUACUGACCUCUUGGGGGCUGACAAGAUUGUUUAGAGGUGUGUGUGAAUAAAAGUCCUAAGUGCUGAAAGAGGUUGGAAAAGGGCCCAGAGUGGAAAUGAAGCUUAUGAGAUAUGGUGUGAAAAAUGUAGGAACUAGAAAUAGGAUAUAAAAGACACGGGCAUGUACAGAGUGUAUCUCCCUUGCCCGCGAGGAACUUCUGUAUUUAAUAAGGUGAUUCCAAAAUACAACAGCAUUCAUUAUUUUCCUUCCUGGUGGUGGUGACUGGUGAUAUUUCUUGGCUUUAUUCAAUUUACAUUCCUAAGAAUUUGGGCUGUGGUCAAUUACCACUUUACAAGCUCAUAAAGGGAGUCAGUGAACUGAGAAGCUUGUGAAACCUUGUCCGAGAUCAGGGAGGAAGUUGGUAGCUACAAUUACCAACUUCAUCACUGGAUGCCACAAGGAGCAAAUUCAGAACAGUGCUAAUACCCACCGUCAAAUGGUAUUCAGUGGCGUAUCACUUCAGUAUAUAGACAUUCCACAUAGCCUUCGCAACUAAUAGGCAACAGAACAGGAGGGCUUCCAGAAAGCAUUUGGUAGACCAUCAUGGACCUCAAGGUGGAGUAGACGAACUGUUUACAUCACCUAACAGAGAAUAGAACUCCCAUAUUCAGGGGCUGUGUACCUUAAGAGCACCAGAUUCUGAUGAACAAUUAAAAAGGAGAGUCCUUUUCCUUUAUACCCUGUUCAAAGCCUUCCCAGAAGCAUGUGAUUGACCACAGAGGGAAAUAAGUUGCUGGGUUAGACAGGUGAAAUAUACUCAGAGUCCUCAGUACAUAACAACAGGCCUUUCAUCUAAUCCAGCAGGCCCUACCUGAAACUCUGGAGAGCCACUGUCAGUCAGUGCAGACAACACACAGCUAGGUGGACCAAUGGUCUGAUGUGGUAGAAGCCAGCUCCCCAUGUUCCUCUUGGUAAUAUGACACUGGGCAGCUGCAAACAACUUUUACAUGCAAGUUUUCAUAGGAGCAGUCUAUCUGAGCAGUGCUAAUGCGGAAUGUUGGCAACAGUGUGUUCAGAUUCUCUUUUGUGUCUUUCACUGGCUCUCCAACUCCAUGCUCUACACUGUUGAUCUGUAAGGGAUAAAAGGAUCCGUCAGUUUCACUUCUAUCAUUUUUCCAAUCUGGAAGUCAGUUCCCCACAUUUCUGCAGCAAUUUGUGAUCUUUUUGCUUGUUUAAAUCCUCAUAUUUUUUAUUUUUUAUUUUUUAGCAUUAUAGUGUGCAUUUCUUCUAACACACACUUUUUUGGGUGUGCAGUUUUGAUUAAUAUACACAUUUUUGCAAGCAGUUUUCCUUAAUAUGAAUUCAUGUAUGCUAUUUCUACUAGUAUCCUUCCCCCCUAAGAUAUGCAUUUUUGUAAACAUUGUUAGGUUGGAAAACUGCAUCACAGCAUUCAGAAAAGCGUGAAUCUCAAAGGAUGGCUAUGUUUUGGUUUUCAUACUGUUUCAGAAGGUGGAAAUUUGAUAGAUUUGGCUUUAAAAUGCAAACUGAAUUGAAUUUAUCCCCCAUCCCUACUCAUGGAUAAAACACUACUUAAAACAACAACAAAUCAUUUUGAUUUCACUGUGCUUAGGAUAUUCUCUAUAUUACUUUUGAAUGGUGUUUCUUUUUAACGUAAUCCACAUACUGUUUUUGCAUGUUGGUAGAUAAACAUCAUGUGGGGGAAAAAUCUCGAUGGGUUUGGGUAGGAUUUAUCCUUCUUAUAAUAUGGCAGGAUAAUAACUUUUAAGAAGUUAUUGUUUUAUUCUUACUGGUGUUUUCUUUGAGCAUUUGCAUCAAUAUAUUUUUACAGUCGUAAGUCACAUUGAGGCAUUUCAUGCAGUAAGCAACAAACAAACUUAAUUAAUAAGACGAUAAUUUGUGGAAAUUGCAAAUUUCAGCAAAAUGCUAUUUAUUUAUAGACUGCUAUUUUAUUAAAAAAUAUCAAAGCUCUUUACAACAAAAAAGACAUAAAACCGUACUGUAAAAAUCAUAUUUAAAAAGUUGAAGCAGACCAUUGCAGAAAGAUGUGUUUUUAAUUGCCUGCAUAAGCCCUAGUGAAACAGGAAAGUUUUCAGCAUGAUUUUAAAAGUUGAAACAGAAGAAAAGUUUCCCAGAACAAGAACAACAGAACAGACCUAAGCCAUACACAGCUGGCCUCUUGAUAUUCUCCAGCUGAUCUGUGAACAGAGGAACUGAAGGACACCGUAUCACAAAUUUCUCCAGGUGGAGGAGAAAUUUGUCUAACAGUUUGUUGGGGGUGAGGGGAAGGGGGUCACCAGUACCAAAGGCAGAAGUAGCACAGGUUCUUUUGAGUACCUGAAGUCUCCCCACUCCUUUGGCGACCACUCCAAGCAGCAGCAACUACUGUACCAGCAACCUAGCCAAUAUUUUGUACUGUCUGCAGUGUCCCAGACCUUUAGCCUUGCUCCAAGUCAUAGUUGGGGGCAAAUGACAGCUGCCGCAGAGAAAAGAAAUAGUGGGGAAUAGCCAAAGGAAAUUCUUCAAAGUAGCUUUCUUUUUCAGCUCAACACUGGAAUAGAAUGCCCCAAGGGGUAGUGGGUUUCCCUUCACUGGGUGCAUGGCAACCUAUCAGGGAUGUCAAAGAUGCAACCUAUCAGGGAUGUCAUAGAUGCAACCUAUCAGGGAUGUCAUAGAUGCAACCUGCAUUAUGGAACUUGCACUGAGGAAAGGGGGUUGACUACAUGUUCUCUAAGAUCUCUUCCAAUGCUAUGAUUCUAUCCAUGAUGAGAACUCUGGUCUUUUCUUUCAACUUUAAAGGCAACACAGAAGGCUCCAGUUUUGAUCAGUGCAUUGAGGAAAAGUAUAUUACUUUGGGAUCUUUCCUCCCACUCUGUUUUUAGACCUGGAAAAGGGGGGGAAACAACCCAAAAUCAAGACUCUUGUCUUUUUCUCCUAUGUAGGUCUAAUAACACUUUUCGCUGGAGUGGUGAGGAAUUUAGGUCGGGGGAAUGGAAUAGGACAGAGGUGGAGAACCUCCCUAUUUGUCCAAGGGCCACAUUCCCUUUUGCCAUUGGUUGGGGGCUGCAGGAAAAAUUGGGUGGGGCAAGAAAUGUACAAUUUAUUUUUGGACAGUUGCUUUGGUUGCCCUUUCUGCACCUUCUCCAGUGCUACAAUAGUUUAUUUGAGAUACACAGGAAGCUUCCUUAUACUGAGCAAGACCAUUGGUCCAUCCAUCCAUCUCAGUAUUGUCCACAUUGACUGGCAAUGACUUCCCAAGGUUUCGGAUAGGGAGUCUCUCCUGGAGAUGCCAUGAAUUGGACCCAAGACCUUCUGUGUGCAAAGUGGAUGUUCUGCCUACAAAUGGACUCAAAGGAAUGUAAACAUUGCCAUCUUCAUGUUCCAUCGCUAUGCGGGAGGUGAAUGCAGCUUGGCAGUAGACUAGUGUGCAUCCAUAGAAAUGCGAACCAAGGCAUCAACUUGUGCACAGCUUGCCAUCAGGAUCAGACCGGUGGCUCCUUAUGUGAUAACACUGCACUCUCUUCCUCUCUUUUUAACGUAUGUUGACAUCAUCCACCUUAAGUGCCUUCACUGUGAACAGGCAAGAUAAAUAUAUAAUUAGACUUUAAUAAAUGCAUGCAUACACAUGGACUUUUGUAGUAUCUGAAAUGUUGGAAGACAUCCCUUUGCUGCUGUAGAUUUGAAGACCCAAACAGACAUGAUGAGAAACCCUGAUAGGAUUAUGUGAAGUAUUUCCACCAGGAGAACAAAGGGUUAGUAAUGCCCACACGAUAUAGUAAUGCCCACCAACACUGAUGGCAUUAAAAGAGUAAUAGACUAAUUAAUGGAGGAGGAGGAGGCUAUGAGUGGUUACUAGCAUGACGGCUGUGUUCUAUGUUCUAGUUGCUGGGAAUCACAAGGGAGAGUUGCUGUUGCACAUGGGUCCUGCUUGUGGGCUUCCCAUUGGGCUUUCUGGUUGGCCAUGGUGAGAGCAGGAUGCUGUGCUAGGUGGGCCUUUGGUCUGAUCAAGCAGGGCUCUUCUUGGACAUGUACUAGCAUAUCUAACACCUAAGUACAAGCAUGUCUUUUUCUCAGAUUUUCCUCAUGAUGUUCAGGUACCCUACAAUACCUCUUUGCAGCAUGGCAAUAACGAUGACACUUUGUGCGAACAUGUGCCCUCCUUGUCACCCGCAUGAAAUUAGGCCUAAGAACAUUGGCUACAACCCUGUGUUUUUAGAUAUUCCUAUUAUUAGACAAUUGGGAGCCAGGAAAUAUUGAUGAUCUACUACAAAUCCCCCAGAAAUCUAUUAGUGGAUUAUGGUCAAACUUCUGGCUACCCUUGAUCUUAUUCCAACUAGCAGAAAAUCUUCACACUCAGGCAGAGGGGUUUUUUUUGUUGUUUUUUUUGUUAAAGUAGCAGAACACACCACCCUCAAGAUUUGGUUCAGAUCUGUAGCCGUAGCUUUUGUGAAGCAGACUGAUUUGUGAGUCAGGUCCAAAAUCACCUUAGCGAAAAACAAAUAUCUGUAUCCCACUGUUCACUAUGAGGGGAAAUCUAAAAACAUCUAUCUUGUUUUCCUCUUGACAGAAGUGGGUGAAAUUUGCAGGUACAGGAGCCCCUCCAGAAUGGAUGGAACAUGUCAAAAUUACUGGCAGAUAGCUUUUAGGGUUUUGUGUGAGUGUGCAGACUCCUUGAACUUUUAUUUUUAUACAUUUUUUAAAAAGUCUUAGCUUUUCCAUUUUCUUUUGGAACUGGAUGCAAUUUGCAUGCAUGGUUGACGCUUCUGAGGGAUGGAGCCUGCCAACUUCCAGAGUGACAAUUGCAAUGCUUUCCUCACAAGGCUAUAGGCUUGACCCUUCCAGGGCAGAUCACUUGGCCUCUCCCAUUGUUUGGUGGGCAGUCAGUAUGAAAACUGCUGACAUGAGAGAGGUGCCCCUGGGUGAGAAAUCUGCCAAAGCACAGACAAAUAGAGAGUCUUUAAUUCUUUUGUUUUCUUCUUGUUGUUUGAAAUAGGAUUGGGUGCUUAAUAUAAACAGGAAAUUAUUGGAAAGGGUGAGAGGUAGGAGGAAGGAACCACCCUGUUCCGGAGAGACAUAAUUUGCAAUGGAGCAACAAUUGCAUGAAACAAAAACUAUUUCACUCAACAGUCCUCACCCAAAGCACUGUGAUUGGGAAGCCCAGGUAAAUUCUUAAAAGCUAGGCCUGUUCUUCAAAGCAAACUCUGCCUUCCCCACAUUUCCCAUAAGCUACUCCAGAGUGUUCCCCUUAUACCUCAAUUUAAGAACAGCCCUGUUUACGAACUAUUUGGUAUAAGAACUCUGCAAAACCGGAAGUAAUGUUCCAGUUAGCAAACUUUAUCUCGGUCUAUGAACGGAGGCUGAAUGGUGGAAGGGCACCGGCGGCGGGAGGCCUCAUUAGGGAAAGAGCCCCUCGGUUUAAGAACAGCUUUGGUUUAAGAACAGACCUCCGGAACGGAUUACGUUCAUAAACCGAGGUACCACUGUAGUCAAUUUGGUUUCACUUUUAGAACAAAGGAUGUCUGCAGCAGUUUUCUUCCUGCCUCUUUUUUGGGGGGCCCUAGGCAAUAGGCCUGGGAUCUGAGACUUUUGGGAUAUAGCAUUGCUUCUCUGACUCAGGGUGCCUUGUUCCUAUAGUGCUUCAACUCAGAAAUGUAAACACACACACACUGAAGUGAAGGCAUGAGACAGGAGUUGGUAAUGCAGGUGAGAUGUGCAGGAGCAAGCUGGCAAGCAUGCUCCAAGCAAGCUGCUGGCUAGCUCUGCAGAGGCUCCUUUUAUUAGCAGAAGUCAACAAUUGGAAACAGUAGUGAAACCACCCUGAACUUAACGUAUUUCCAUCUAAGCAUUAACAAAUACAGAUGUCAGCAGGUGCUUCCCUUGAAUGUUCCCCCAAAUACUUGAUUACGUCUGUGUUCCCCACCAUGCUCCAGCCAAGUAAUAUGUCUAGCAAACAAAUUGCGAAAGGACAAAAGGUCAGGGGGGAAGACCCUGUUUUCUAGCCAAGAAGGCAAAAGGUCAGGAAAAGCAGGCGUAACGCUCCUUGACAUACUGUUGCACUUCUGGUGUGAGGUUUACCUUCGCAAAGUGGAGCGUUACCUCUACAACACAAACCCUGAGGCACCUUGAUUUGACUCAGGGUUAUUGCACCCUUGUAAUUUCCUGUCUUUCCACCUGAUAUCAUUUUAACAUUGGCAGUUGUCCAUCAAGUCAAGCACCGUCUACUCUGGCUGGUAGUGGCUCUCCAUUGGGUCAGGAAGGGUGAGGCCUUCCCAUUCCCUGCCACCUUCUGGGCUUCAUCUCAGCUAGAACUCCAGCCAGGCUCUCACUGCCUCUUUGCUUUGCUUCCCUUCCUCUUCAGGUAUAAGAAACUCUGAAGCUUCACCGCCAACUGCUGUGCCUCUGCCCUGCAGUUUCUCAUCUGUUUUAUCAGGCCCCACUGCAGGAAGGAGAAAUGGCAGGUCUUGUCUGGCUGCAAGCUUCCCUCUCAGCAUUUAUCCACCAGGAAGACCUGCUAGCCAGGGCUCUAAUCCUGCAUCCAUAUGGAGGGAUGUACAGAGGGAAAUGGGACUGUCCCUUCACAAUUAUGGUGAUGAUCAUAGAAUCAUAGAAUUGUAAUGGUGGGAGGGAUCACACCCCCGGCAGUGCAGGAGCCACAGCUAAGCAAUCAUAGCUUUAUCAUGUUGUGACGGCUACACAUCCUUCUGAAGAAAGGGUAAGCCAAAGCAUCUAGAUAAACAAACAAAAUGCUCGGUUGUGUAUGUGAGCAUGUUUUCCCCAGUUUGCUUUGGCUUCACGCUGAGUGAUCUGCAUGUACAAGUUAUUAUAUUAAUACUGACUUUCCUCCCCUAUUAAGCUGCAGGGGAAAAAUGGAUGUCUAUAUCCAGAAGGCAGGCUGGAAGCCAAAAUCUAUUUUGGUUAGGUCCUGAAAUUAUUUCCAAGCUUGAAUACAUUUGUUCUCAAAGAGAGCUGACAAAGUAGAAAAGCAAAAUUAAAUGGGUCCAUAGGGUUGUUACACCCCUCUCUCCCAAAUAAAUUGUUGAUAAUGUUUUAAUAUAUUAGCCUAAAGAUUUUCAUUUAUUUUAAUGACAAGGAUUACCAUUUUAGGAGAUAUUCUGGGUCCGUGCAAUAGAUCCUCUGCAAGGGGGAUCUGCAACAAAAUGUUCCAGUAUAUUCAGAAGUGCAUUCCUACACCCUUUUCGAGGGUGUUGUAAGGCAGGAACUUUUGACCCUCCAGAUGUUGCUGAACUGCAACUCCCACCAUCCCUGGCCAUCGGCAGUGCCUUUUUUCUUGAUAAAAAAAGUUGCCAGUACUCACCCCGCAGUUGUUACAGUAAGGGCCUGUUUUGUCAUUGGCCACGACACCAACCUCCCCAGCUGCAUUGCAGGGGGUUGGACUAGAUGACACUUUGGGUCCCUUCCAAUUUUGUACAGUGGUACCUCAGGAUACAGACGCUUCAGGUUACAGACUCCACUAACCCAGAAAUGGUACCUCAGGUUAAGAACUUUGCUUCAGGAUGAGAACAGAAAUUGCAUGACGGUGGUGCGGCAGCAGCAGGAGGCCUCAUUAGCUAAAGUGGUGGUUCAGGUUAAGAACAGUUUCAGGUUAAGAAGGGGCCUCCGAAACGAAUUAAGUUCUUAACCCGAGGUACCACUGAAGAUUCUCAAAGCCAGAUGAUCCCCCCUCCCUCCCAUCCAUUACCAUGCUGCACUAACUCAUGGUUUUGGCACCUCCGGCGGCUCCUGCGCCCAUCCCACCAUGCCCAUUGUGAGCAUUGCCAGUGAGUUGACCACAUGAAUAGCAGCAGAGUGCAGUGCACUGACAGUGACCAGGCGCCGGCAGGGCUUUGCUCAUGCCAUGACUCCCCAUGAGGGGGGCAGGCGGGGAGGUGCCAGUAGUGCAUAACGGUGAGUAUUAUCAUAAAAAAACACUGGCCACCAGUCAGGCUUUCUGGGCUGAUAGGAGUUGUAGUUUGGAGAGCCAGUGGUUCUCCACAUCUAUUUUAUAAGAUGCAUUAUAUCAGGGUUUCCCAGACUUGGGGCUCCAUCUGUUUUUGAACUACAACUCUCAUUAUCCCUAGCUAGCAGGACCAGUGGUCAGGGAUACUGGGAACUGUAGUCCAAAAACAGCUGGUGAAGCAGACCUGUCUGUUACUUCAUUGGGGAUUUUGGUCUUUUCAGCAGCUGUUGCUGCUGCCUGCAAGUUGCCUGAUGUGUCAAGGAUGAGCCCACACCAAGAGAAGUGGAAACUCCACUUCUGCAUUGCAGGGGGUCGGACUAGAUGAACCUUGGGGUCCCUUCCAACUCUACAGCUCUAUGAUUCCAGCAGCAAGGACCCCCUCGCCCCAUGUCUUCAGGCAAAGUACUUAGAGACAGCAAUUGCUGGAGUGGUCAAGGCUGGACAGCAACUGAAAAAACUCAGUCUCCAAAGCAACUUCUCCAGCCAAGGAAAUGACCAUCAUGCAAAUGAAACAAGAACGGUCUGGUUUUCUCUUUGCUCUGCUCUGCUUUUGCACAAGCUGCGCUCCUUGGAAACACCAGAGCAGACACUUGGCCAGGAGACAGCUUUCGUUUGUUAUAAAAGAGGUUAAAGGUUACCAGGAGCACAAAAAGUGUUUUUCUCUUUCAAGAACAAUCCUGCCACUGUGUGACUCACGAUAACAAAGAGCCCAGUGAGGUCUUAGUGCUGACUAGAGAUGUCUGACAAGCCUCAGGCUUGAGGGGUGGGGUGUUUUUAAUUACACUGCGUGGAUGCCUGUUCAAAACUUCCACCUGCUCAAAUAUGUGCAGAGAGCUAUUUGCUCAAACCUCAAGCAGUAUCCUAGAUUAGCAAGCCUUCCACUUUCCUUUAGGGGCUGACCUCUGACCUCCUGAUUUUGUUGGAUUGAAGGUCCCCUCAUCCCUGACCAUUGGCCAUGCUGCCUAGGACUGAUGGGAAUCAAAGAUCACCAACAUCAGGGGGACAAUGGAUUAGCCACACCUGGUUUAAGUAGUGAUGUUUUCCUCUUAACACCCACCUUUCCAUCAUCAACUGACCAAGCAGAGCUGCUCUUAGGCUUAAGGACAAAACAUUACACAAUCCCUCCUAAAAAAGAUAAAAGAUAAGAUGCGGGGAACCCUUGGCCCUCCAGAUUUCCCACACCUGCUCUAAAAGGUGCUUGUUAUGUCUACAUAUUCUCCAGCUGUUUUCAUUGAUUAAAGGCCAUCCUGAUUUCCUGUCUUGGGGAAAUUACUGUCCAGAUUUUGAGCCCCCCUUUUUUUCUUGCUAUUUGAGAAUGACAUACAGUGGUACCUCGGGGUAAGUACUUAAUUCGUUCCGGAGGUCCGUUUUUAAUCUGAAACUGUUCUUAACCUGAAGCACCACUUUAGCUAAUGGGGCCGCCAUGCCGCCAGAACACGAUUUCUGAAGCAAAGUUCUUAACCUGAGGUACUAUUUCUGGGUUAGCAGAGUCUGUAACCUGAAGUGUAUUUAACCUGAAGCGUCUGUAACCUAAAGCGUAUGUAACCCGAGAUACUACUGUAUUCAACUGCUGCUAGCGUAAGAUGCUAGCACUGUCAUUUUCCAGGGUUCAGCUUUCUCUCAAGUCUCCACAAUGUCAAUAUAUGAGUGGGUUCAUCUUGCCUCCAAUGUGCUGGCAUAGAAAUUUGGGGUGUAAGAAGCCCGUGAUUUCCAUUCCUACCUGUAUUCAUCGCAACCAGUCCUGUUUUCUGUUUCACUGGAGUUCAGUUUCUGCCAAAUGCUACGUUAUUAAUUUUGCUGCCCACUAUUUAAGCUAAGUCUCCUAACUUAAUGUAGCUAGUCACGCAACUUAUGUAACUUGCAUACAAUUCAACGUAAAGGAAAUGUCAAAACAAUGUAAAAAACAGUCAGUAAUCAUGCAUUGUUUGCAGACUUCAAAGCAACGAUGCCAGUGAAUAGUAAUCAUAUUCGCUUGACUGAUUUCCAUUCCUGAGCACACAAACUGCUUCAAUUUCUACUCCUUUCUGCAUUUUUACUGGAAUCCUAUGCCAUCCCUAAUAGAAAUGCAUGCACAUGACCACUAAGGUACCAUGUAGCGCUCGGUCCGCCAUUUACAUUAAUUCAUUUCAAUGCUGUCUUCUCAGCUAUUUUGGAAGGGAGAUUUAGGAUGCAGCCCUGAGGAUGUGCAUUUGUGUGUGAGGGGAUUAAUGAUGAUUAAACUGCCUCCUCCAAUCUGCUUGCACCAACAGGGUGGAAGUGAGCCUUCCUCCCUCCUUUUUUAUAGUUUCUUCCCAUUAUUCCCAGUGGGAGAGAAAUUAAUGGGAUGGAACUAUGCCAGCUCUGGAGCUGGCAUGUUUCCCUGCCUGGUUUUCAGGCAUGUCUGAGGUCUUGGGAAGACAUUGCAUCCUUCAGAUCCAAGCCUUCCCUGGUCCAGCCUCAAACCACUACCAGCAUACACCCUUUGUGGCCUUACCAAUGUAGGACCUCAGAACUUUGGAUAGAAAUAGCAGGUAAGCAGAUUUUGGCUAAGUAUUAGGAGAAGCCUCCAGUGGUAAAACUUGAGUGACAGUGGAGCUGACAGCCUCAGAAGGCAGUGGGUUCUCCUUUGCUAGACGUAUUUAAGCACAGUUUGUUGUUGCAUCCUGCAACGCGCAGGGAAUUGGACUAGUUUGCCAAUGGUAGAGAACAUGCUUUCACAUGUUUACAGCAGGGAUAGCCAAUAUGGUGCCCUUGAGAAGUAGCUGUUCCCCUCAUUCCUGGCCAUUAGACAUGCUGUCUGGGACUGGUAGGAGUUGAAGUUCAACACCUGGAGGGCACUGCAUUGAAAACAUCUGCUUCAGGGCCUUGGGUUGAUCCCUGGCAACUGCAAUUAAAGAGUCCCAGGUGUGUUUCUAGGAGUGUACAUUUCGUCUAUUCCCCAAACUUUCCAAAUUAGAACCUCCCUUUUAAUUUGAAGCAAAAGAGAAGCAGUGUGUUGAUGCAGCUGAAGAUCUGUGUUCAGCCAAUCAGCCAUUCUUGCGGGAUUAUUGUCUUUAAAGUGUAGAAUGAUAAACAACAGAUGGGGGAGUGUUUCACUCAAAGGAAGGGCGCACGCCAUGAGAACAAAUCACUGCGCUUUGGAACUGAACAGAUUUUGCUUUAAUAUUGCAGAUCUGGGGGACUCUGAAAUGUGAAGCGCUGCAACAAGGGCUGUGAAAUGUGACGUGUAGCUUGUGAUGGUCACCAGCAAUAGUUCAAGGAUCCUUAAAGCACCAAAGCAUCCUGAAUACAGAG
Podarcis lilfordi (Lilford's wall lizard) is the source of this 13352-nucleotide non-coding RNA. The record is from the annotation of a GenBank genome assembly. Lineage: Eukaryota; Metazoa; Chordata; Lepidosauria; Squamata; Lacertidae.